AUGAACGCUGGCGGCGUGCUUCACACAUGCAAGUCGAACGGAAAGGCCCAAGCUUGCUUGGGUACUCGAGUGGCGAACGGGUGAGUAACACGUGGGUGAUCUGCCCUGCACUUCGGGAUAAGCCUGGGAAACUGGGUCUAAUACCGGAUAGGACCACAUUUUGGAUGGUGUGGUGGAAAGUUUUUCGGUGUGGGAUGAGCUCGCGGCCUAUCAGCUUGUUGGUGGGGUAAUGGCCUACCAAGGCGUCGACGGGUAGCCGGCCUGAGAGGGUGUACGGCCACAUUGGGACUGGGAUACGGCCCAGACUCCUACGGGAGGCAGCAGUGGGGAAUAUUGCACAAUGGGCGCAAGCCUGAUGCAGCGACGCCGCGUGGGGGAUGACGGCCUUCGGGUUGUAAACUCCUUUCGCUAGGGACGAAGCGUUAUGUGACGGUACCUGGAGAAGAAGCACCGGCUAACUACGUG
RNAcentral lists this ribosomal RNA (465 nucleotides) under uncultured bacterium. RNAcentral's name for it is "partial 16S ribosomal RNA". It matches the Rfam family "Bacterial small subunit ribosomal RNA", at positions 29 to 507 of the family's 1533-position model. The record is from RNAcentral.